NNAAGCGUGCUUGGGCGAGAGUAGUACUAGGAUGGGUGACCCCCUGGGAAGUCCUCGUGUUGCAUCCC
This is a non-coding RNA of Nicotiana attenuata, 68 nucleotides long. Lineage: Eukaryota; Viridiplantae; Streptophyta; Magnoliopsida; Solanales; Solanaceae. The record is from Rfam.